UCUGAAAGAAAAAAGGUAAUACUUUUUAGGAAACCUAUACCCCUUGGCGGCCUUAUUUCUUAUUGAAGGAACUUGUUCUUUAAUCGAAAUUACCCGUUCAUUUUCUCUUUUAUUAUGUUUUUAUACCGUCGUCUUAAGAACAUCAUAAAACAUAUUGUUCUAUUGUGAAUAAUCAAGCAAGUCAGAUCAAGGUGAAGCUUUUAUAAAAGCCCAGAGUGAGUUAUUCUUAAGAGCUACUUUAGGACUUCAUUUAAAAAAAUUAUUCGAAUUAAGAUUCA
RNAcentral lists this ribosomal RNA (278 nucleotides) under Aname vernonorum. Its description in RNAcentral is "partial small subunit ribosomal RNA". The record is from RNAcentral. Lineage: Eukaryota; Metazoa; Arthropoda; Arachnida; Araneae; Anamidae.